CCUACGGGUGGCAGCAGUGGGGAAUAUUGCGCAAUGGGCGAAAGCCUGACGCAGCGACGCCGCGUGAGGGAUGAAGGUCUUCGGAUCGUAAACCUCUGUCAGCAGGGAAGAACGGUCACUGUGCUAAUCAUCAGUGAAUUGACGGUACCUGCAAAGGAAGCACCGGCUAACUCCGUGCCAGCAGCCGCGGUAAUACGGAGGGUGCGAGCGUUAAUCGGAAUUACUGGGCGUAAAGCGCUCGUAGGCGGUAUGUCAAGUCAAGGGUGAAAUCCCCGGGCUCAACGUGGGAACUGCCUUUGAAACUGGCAAACUGGAGUGUGUGAGAGGAUAGUGGAAGUCCAGGUGUAGGAGUGAAAUGCGUAGAUAUCUGGAGGAACAUCAGUGGCGAAGGCGACUAUCUGGCACAUAACUGACGCUGAGGAGCGAAAGCGUGGGUAGCAAACAGGAUUAGAUACCCUGGUAGUC
This 465-nucleotide ribosomal RNA is filed under the name uncultured bacterium. Its description in RNAcentral is "partial 16S ribosomal RNA". It matches the Rfam family "Bacterial small subunit ribosomal RNA", at positions 338 to 795 of the family's 1533-position model. The record is from RNAcentral.